This 1307-nucleotide long non-coding RNA is filed under the name Homo sapiens (human). RNAcentral describes it as "non-protein coding LINC00937:16". Lineage: Eukaryota; Metazoa; Chordata; Mammalia; Primates; Hominidae. The record is from RNAcentral.
AGACGCCCCAGCUCCGCCGAGAGGCCGCUUGCGCAGGCUCCUUCUUCUUCCGCAAGUGUAGGCAGAGCCCCCGGAGCCAUGGCCAGCCCUUCCCGCAGCUCCGAAGCCACUGGCAAGCCCCGAGGCAGGGAUGGCCGGCCCAGGAGGGAGGAGGACGACGUCCCUCCCGAAGAGAAGAGGCUGCGGCUCUUGCUGGAGGGGGGAAGCGCACAGCCCCAGGACGGCGAGGACGGGGAGGACGCGCCGCGGCCGGGCAGGGUGGAGACCGGCACCCAGACAGGUGGCGACGGCAGAGGGGCGGAAUUCUCCACGAGUUUUGAGCAGCCUCGGUUUUCCUACCACCUCCAAAUCAUGGAAGACACAGGGUAAGAGCAAAGACAAGGUGGCUGUGGCCGAUGUCCACCCUCUCGGGGCGUCCCUUCUCUUCUCUCCUCCUUGGGCAGGGAGUCCAUCGGGGUGCAACCUGGCUGGGGUGGGGAGGAGGUGCAGGGCCUGGUCAGAGCGGGCAUGGCCACAGGCAGGAGACAGCGACUGCUUGGUCCGGGGCAGGUGAGCGCAGCGCAGGCCAGGGCCCUACCUGUCCACGGUGCGCGCGAGCGGCCAGCAGAGGGCGCCAGAGGACCACGAGCGGCCCGCGGAGGAGUCCGCGCCGGCCCCGAUGCCCAGCUCCGCGCCGCGCGGACCCACCGAGCCCGCGCUCAGACGCCCCAGCUCCGCCGAGAGGCCGCUCGCUCCGGGUCCUUCCUCUUCCCCAGGUGCAGGCAGAGCCCCCGGGGCCAUGGCCAGCCCUUCCGGCAGCUCCGAAGCCCCUGGCAAGCCCCGAGGCAGGGAUGGCCGGCCCAGGAGGGAGGAGGACGACGUCCCUCCCGAAGAGAAGAGGCUGCGGCUCUUGCUGGAGGGGGGAAGCGCACAGCCCCAGGACUGCGAGGACGGGCAGGACGCGCCGCGGUCGGCCAGGAAGGAGACCGGCACCCAGACAGGUGGCGACGGCAGAGGAGCACAGUGGCUCACACCUGUAAUCCCAGCACUUUGGCAGGUCGAGGCUGGUGGAUCACCUAAGGUCAGGAGUUCGAGACCAGCCUGGCCAACAUGGCGGAACUGUCUCUACUGAAAAUACAGAAAUUAGCCAGGUGUGAUGGCACACACCUGUAAUCACAGCUGCUUGGGAGGCUGAGGCAGGAGAAUCAUUUGAACCUGGGAGACAGAGGUUGCAGUCAGCCGAGAUCGCACCAAUGCACUUCAGCCAGCCUGGGUGACAGAGUGAGACCCUGUUUCAAAAAUAAAUAAAUAAAUAAAAUAGAAUUCUG